RNAcentral lists this long non-coding RNA (603 nucleotides) under Olea europaea subsp. europaea. The record is from RNAcentral. Lineage: Eukaryota; Viridiplantae; Streptophyta; Magnoliopsida; Lamiales; Oleaceae.
GUGACUGCCUAUAGAAGAUCCGUGAAAAAAUUAUCUGUACACGAGGCAUUUUCCUAACAAUCCAUCGUACCCACUUACUAUAGCUGCGCAGAGCCAUCAUACCCACCGCCCACAGCCGCGUUGUGCUAAGGAGAAGCGAUGAUGAGAGCCUAUCGCAGAUCGUCGCAGCGCAAUCCAGCGCGCUCAGUGGUGAGUAUAGGAAGAAGUGGUGUCAAUAUAGGAAAAAGUGAUGGAUCUGGCGUAGAUUUGUCUUGUGGCGAGAAGAAGACUUGUGGGGGUGCGAUUAUUAGUAAAAGAGGUGGCUUCGACUUAGAUUCAUCUGUUGCUCAUUGAUGUACACGAUUUUGGGGUAUUUUCGGGUGAUUUGCGAUCAAUAGUGGUUUAGGUCUAAGAUAGAAGCUAUGUUUUCAUGUGGUUUGGGGUGAUUUGAAAUCGCUGCUGUUCGAGCAGGCGACGGUGAUUUUGCCCGAGUUUAGAUGACAGUAUAGUGGUGAUAUUGUGGUGCGUUGAGCAAUGUUGUGGGUGUGGUGGUGGUUUUGCGAUUACAGUGGUAGUGCAGUGCGGUAUCGUAAAGUGAGGUCUGGUGCUAGCGUUGUGGUGGUG